UGGGGUGUGGCUCAGUGGCAGAGUACUUGCCUAGCAUGUGUGAGGCCCAGGGUUCCAUCCCCAGCACCACAC
This 72-nucleotide transfer RNA is filed under the name Ictidomys tridecemlineatus (thirteen-lined ground squirrel). RNAcentral's name for it is "Spermophilus tridecemlineatus (thirteen-lined ground squirrel) tRNA". It matches the Rfam family "tRNA". Rfam says of the family: Transfer RNA (tRNA) molecules are approximately 80 nucleotides in length. Their secondary structure includes four short double-helical elements and three loops (D, anti-codon, and T loops). The record is from Rfam by way of RNAcentral. Lineage: Eukaryota; Metazoa; Chordata; Mammalia; Rodentia; Sciuridae.